Molecule: long non-coding RNA, 1461 nt
Organism: Gorilla gorilla gorilla (western lowland gorilla)
Lineage: Eukaryota; Metazoa; Chordata; Mammalia; Primates; Hominidae
Exons: 3
Source: RefSeq, a predicted model, not a curated record
UCCGGCCGCGCGGGCGGCCUCGGGGACUGACCUUGGCGCCUGUGCCUGCCGGGCGCAUAGGCCAGGUCGACCUGGGGCAGGCGGGCGUCGGAGGGGCAGUUUUGAAGCCCGAGCGAAGAGGCAGAGGGCGGGAUGCGGACGAAGCCAGGGAGUUCACGAAACUUCUGGAGUUCUCAGUUUCCCCCUAAGUCGACUGGGGCUGGGUCCCGUGCCGCCAGGCGGGCUGGCUGAGGAGAUGGGCUGGGGCGACAAGACAGCAGCCACCUGGCCCGGGUACUUGGGGUCAGACCGGCUUCGAGGCCCCCGGACCGCCGUGUUAUCAGGACGGGUAGGGAGCCCACGGGACGCGUGGUGCUCAGAAGAGCGGGGAGGCGUGUGGACGGGGCCUGCCCGAGCUGCACCACCGCGUGCCUUCAGGCUGCGAGGCCCGCCCAGGCGAAGGCGGCAUCUCAGCCUCUAGCCCUUGGGGACCUUGAGAACGUCCUCUUAUGGGUCAGCCGUUCCUAGGGAGGCUUGUGGCUCCAGUUACUGGAAAAACCAGUGCUGGUUCACGCAGGAGGCCCCAGUACAGGGGGAAACAGAGGCAAGCUGGGGUCUCCCAGGCGGCCUCACCCACCCAGCCCUGUUCCAUGCCAGUCCCUGGACCCUUGGCCCAGUCAGAUGUUCAACUGCUCCAGCCCUGCCUCCGCUUCCCUGAAAGAUGCUUUUCCACCCAUCCACCCUCAGCAGCCAGAGGGACCCCGGGAAGAUGGGAGUGAGAGCUGCCUUCCUCUGCAAAAGUCACCAGGCACCACCUCACUGGUGAAGGCCAGAGACCCUACACUGUCCCAAGACCACCUGACUGGGCUGCCUCCCUGCCACCUGGCUGCCAGCCUCUCUCGGAGCGCCUGCAAGCUAUUCCUCCAACCCAGAGUUUCCUUCCCAGCUAAGGGCCUUUGCACCUGCUGUUCCUUCUGCCUGGAAGUUCACCGCAGACUAUCCCAGGGCCUCCAUCCUUCCCAUUGCAUGGUCCCCAUCAGCUGCCGCCGCCUCUGAGAGCUCAGUCUCCACUGGCCAUCCUGUCUCUCAGCCCACUGCACUCUCCACUCUGCCAGAAAGUCCCCCAAUCAGUGACAACACAGGUCAUGGUCCACACCUCACCUGGUUUGUCCACAGUGCCCAGCAUCUGGCACAGAGCAGCUGUGUGCAAAUCCUGGACAGAUUAGGAAGCAGAAGCUAAGCAAAAGCAGAAUCAAGAUUCAAACCCAGGCACGGAGAAACCAGAGCUGUCCAGCUGCUAGGAGAAAACGGGGCCUCAGAGAUGAUGGCUGAGCCGUGAAAAGGUGGGGUCAGAAGCCAGGCCCAGUCUCCUGAAUUCCAGACUCCAGAAUCUCCCCCAGGAUUGAGGUAUGUUCCACAGAAAGAAUCCCAGCUACACCUACCCCAGUCACUGGACCUGCCCAGCCCUGGAGGCAUGGCCAG